RNAcentral lists this transfer RNA (76 nucleotides) under Escherichia coli. RNAcentral's name for it is "tRNA-Val". It matches the Rfam family "tRNA". Rfam says of the family: Transfer RNA (tRNA) molecules are approximately 80 nucleotides in length. The record is from RNAcentral. Lineage: Bacteria; Pseudomonadati; Pseudomonadota; Gammaproteobacteria; Enterobacterales; Enterobacteriaceae. RNAcentral also lists the same sequence under 6 other names.
GGGUGAUUAGCUCAGCUGGGAGAGCACCACCCUUACAAGGAGGGGGUCGGCGGUUCGAUCCCGUCAUCACCCACCA